UUCCUGCUCUUUCUUUCACCGGGUGUUGAUUCGAAUGAGUCUUUUAUUUGAUUAACUGUAAUAUAAAUUAAAUUUCCUUUUUUUGUGGCUUCACUGGAAUGCUGGUCUGUGUUUCAUUAUUCUUGUGUGAAUAUUUGAUUGGCAGACUGCCAGCAUGAUCACGCUAGGCAGACAACCCACCCACUUUCCACACCAGGCCUUUGUACAGCAUGAACGUAUCCUUCAAAGGAAGUGUCACUGCUUGUGGUGAUGCAACGUAUAAGCAGGGAUUCAGAAACAAUGGGCAAGGAAAACCCCUCAGAGGAGGACAGUACUCCUGAGAAGGGAUCACCAUACAUUUUUACCACCCCAAGCCCAAGCACAGGACACAGCAGCAAGAGACACAGAAAUCCUGGAAGCAGCUGGCUCUCACUGAAAUGGCCAAGAGGAAGGUCCGAGAUGCUGACAGUGGGAGUGCAAGUGACUUCCAAGAUGAAGAGCUUUCACUUUAUAUGUGGUAAGCCUUGAUGGUAGCAAUGAGAAGAGGUGAUGGAUGCUGCCUUCUUGAGGUAUUGCCUUUUGAAGAUUUCCUCGAUGCUGGGAAGGCUAGUGCCCAUGACGGAGCUGGCUGUGUUUACAACUUCCUGCAGCCUUGUUCGAUCCUGUGCAGUGGCCCCUCCAUACCAGAUGGUAAUGCAACCAGUUGAAAUGCUCUCAACAGUACAUCUGUAGAAAUUCGCUCGUCUUCGGUGAUAUUCCAAGAGUUCUCAAAUUCCUAAUGAAAUGUAGCCGCUGUCAUGUCUUCUUUGUAAUUGCAUCAAUAUGUUGGGCCCAGAAUAGAUCUUCAGAGAUGUUGACACCCCGGAACUUGAAACUGUUCAACCAUUCCACUUCUGAUCCCUUGAUGAGGAUUGGUGUGUGUGCCCUCAAUUUCCCCUUCCUUCGGUCCACAAUCAAUUCCUUGGCCUUUCUGACAUUAAGUCCAAGGUUGUUGUUGCUACACCACUCAACCAGCUGACUUAUCUUGCUCUUGUAUGCCUCCUUGUCACCAUCUGAAAUUCUGCUAACAGUAGCUGUGACAUUGACAAACUUUUGACUUCCUGUACUUAUGUGCUGCUUAUUGUUCCCUUUGCCCCCUAAACUCCUCAAAAGUACAAUCUGCACAAGGUGAGGGAUUGAACUUCUUAAUAUGCUCCCUCUCUUCACCACAAUCUGUGGUUGUCUGUAUCUUUUCAAAUAGACAAAAAUGCUUAAAUUGUGCUAAAAAGUAGAAGAGAGGAACAGAGACAGAUUAGAUCUGCACUGUAAAUGACACACACAUGUGCAUUGUUAUAUACACGAUUUUCUGUAUAUGCUAGAGCAGCUCUUCUCUUUCUCUUUGUGAUUCCUCCUUUCGGCUGUGUCAACCAUAGUUAUACAUAAGUAAGUACGUUACUGUCUCCAGUUGCUUCAGUUUUACUGCUGUCCAUGACUUCACCGAUGGCUGCUCCAACAUUGGCAAGGACUGUAGCCUCCUCCCUGAUGGGAGUGGGAUAAGCAGCCCAUGACUAGGAGAUAGUUAAAGUCAUCCAGCCUUAUUAGGAGCUGAUGGAAGCUGGCAGGUCCUGGUUCUCACCUGGAAGUGCAGGUAUCAAAAAUCAGAGGGAACCAACUAAAAUUUUAACUCUUGAUCAAGACUGAGCAAGAGGAUUCGGGCUGGCUGAUCUGACAAGGUGCAGGGGGCCCUUCUCUCACAACCUUAAGAAAGCCAAAGUUCUCCUCCAUAUGGGUAACAUUCUGUUGCUAGGCUCUCUCACCCACUGAUUGUCUGAAACAUUGUUCUUCAAGAGUGAGGGAAGCAUGCCCUUGACAUUGAUUGAAGAGUUAGGAUUGUGGAUUCGUACUCAGUGUGUAAGGAUGCACUGUUGCACAAUUUCUGAUUGGCAGCUGAGUGACAGUUUGUCGUGUCUGAACAGGGUAGGAGACUAGAAAAUUGGAGGAUAGUAGCUAGAAAAAUUAUUCACUGACACGAACCAUUUGGAUGAGAUCUUUAAUGUUUAGAAGCUCAUGUGCCUUCAGUGAAUGACCCCUAGUUUUGAUUCUCUCUGCUUUCUGUAUUCAUCACCUCUGCAGUUUGCCUGGAAAACCUCCUAGGACUAGAGGUCACAACCUUAGAAUAGAGGGACGCAGAGAGUAGAGAUUUAGAACAGUGAUUAGUUGAAUUUCUUUAGCCAGAGGGUAGCAAAUCUGUGGAAUUCACUGCCACAGACCGGUGUGGAGGCCAUGUCAUUGAGUAUGUUAAAAAUGGAUGUUGAUAGGUUCUUGAUUAUUCAGGGUGUUAAAGAUAAUGGGGAGAAGGCAAGAGAAUGGGGUUGAGAGGGAUAAUAAAUCAGCCAUGAUGGAAUGGCAAAGCAGAUGCGAGGGGCUGAAUGGCCUAAUUAUGUUCUUACAGUAUGUCUUAUGGUCUUCCUGCUAACAGGCCUGUCUCUGUUUCUCAAUCUCUUGCACUAAAGCCCCAGUGCAGGAUCAGAAAAUGUUGGGACACAUUUCUUUAUUACUUUGGGUCAUUGACACCAUCGCCACAACCUGAAAGGGUCCUAUAACCUCUCAUAGCUUCGUAAUCCACACACGAUGCACUUCCCUUGAACCGAUGUAGACAAGCUUAAGCAGAGGAGCCAAGUUGUAAAUGGUGCCGGCCACACAUGAAGUGGGCUUCCUGUUAAUAAGUUGGCACCAAUAAGUUUGGGAUGGCACAGUAGCAUAGCAGUUAGAGUAACUCUACUACAGGUUCAUUUCCCGUUGCCAUCUGUAAGUAGCUUUAACAGUCUCUCUGUUGGUUUCCUCCGGGUGUUCUGGUUUCCUCCUACAUUCCAAAGACAUAAAAGUUAGUAGGUUAAUUGGGCAGGUUGGUGUUGUUGGGGCAGCAUGGACUCACUGGGCAGGAAGAGUCUGUUACCAUGCUGGAUCUCUACAAUUAAAAAUGUUUAAAAAAUUAAUGGGAACCAUGCAACUUAUCUCCAAAGGAUUUCUGGUCUUAACACUGAUAUGCCAUCUAUCAUGGCCCCACCUACUUGGGUGCUGUCUGAAUGAAAAUUAGUGCUUUAGAGUCAGGUAGCAAAAUGGCACAAAGUCACAUGUGUUUAAGUGUCAUUAUAGUCUCAGUUACGCUGGCAGAAUGUAACUGGAAGCUGCCUCCUUUUGUUUUCAAAAUACUUAGAGAUAAUUUUGCUCUUAAUUCCUUGGUGGUGAUAUUUGCCAUAAAUAGGAUUAAUAAAAUUGAUAUAGCUUAAGGUUUAAUGCAGCCAUUUGAUUCAUGAAGGUGAAAGCUGAAAAUGUACACCAGCAUAUUAAAUAUUAUUCAUGAAAUAUUACCUAGGUGGCUACUAUGACAUCAAGAGCCGUGAAAGCUUAAAUGACAUUUAAGCAGACAUAACAAUUGCUAGGAGCAGACUAGAUUUUAUUCAAUUUAUAUCAUGUCAAAAAUAAAUUUGUGACUCACUGAAGAAUGCAGACACCUCUUGCUGUGACGUAAAUGUUUGGGCCUCUUCUGACCACUGCACUGUAUUUGUCAUAUUAUUUUGAAUUGUUCUGUAAAAGAGAGAGCCAAUUUCUUUUAAAAGCAAUGUAUGAAGUAACACCAUUUUAUUUGCCUCGAGGUGGCAUCAUGCCUGAAGAAGUGCAGCUUUAUUCUUUUACUAUGGUGUAUGUUUAUAUCAUACCUUCAAUCAUUUGCAGCAGAUUGUCCUAUGAAUUUUUAAAAUAAAAUUGAUACACUACUUA
Molecule: long non-coding RNA, 3738 nt
Organism: Mobula hypostoma (lesser devil ray)
Lineage: Eukaryota; Metazoa; Chordata; Chondrichthyes; Myliobatiformes; Myliobatidae
Exons: 4
Source: RefSeq, a predicted model, not a curated record